Molecule: non-coding RNA, 100 nt
Organism: Papio anubis (olive baboon)
Lineage: Eukaryota; Metazoa; Chordata; Mammalia; Primates; Cercopithecidae
Source: Rfam
CCUUCUUCUCGUUUGCCUUUUUCUGCUUCUGCUGCAUAUCUCCGAGUCCCUGGGGGUAGAGGUGAUGGGGCACUAGGAGGUACCAGAGGGCAAAAAGAAC